This is a non-coding RNA of Pelobates cultripes (western spadefoot toad), 229 nucleotides long. The record is from the annotation of a GenBank genome assembly. Lineage: Eukaryota; Metazoa; Chordata; Amphibia; Anura; Pelobatidae.
GUAGACUUGUUUAUCUGUUGGUGGGUAUUUAAAAUGUCCGAAUUUGUCAAUGGAUGACAUCACCCACGAUCUCGUCCAAAUAAAAGCUUCUUAUAGAGAAGCACUGUGGAUGAAACUGCAUGUGUGGCAGGAAGACAGCCACUACAGGCUUUCUUAACCAUGUAAUGUAAACAUUAAUGUAUCAAAACUACAAGAACACUGCACCCAGAACAGUUAAUUGAGAUAAAAU